Molecule: ribosomal RNA, 97 nt
Filed under: Salvator merianae (Argentine black and white tegu)
Lineage: Eukaryota; Metazoa; Chordata; Lepidosauria; Squamata; Teiidae
Source: RNAcentral
ACCUAGCCAACCUUUGCUGAUCUCAAGAAGCUAAGCAGGAUAAGACAUGGUUAGUACUUGGAUGGGAGAUCACCAGGAAAUUUCAGGGCUAUAGGCU